This is a long non-coding RNA of Trifolium pratense (red clover), 1712 nucleotides long. RefSeq lists it as uncharacterized. The transcript is spliced from 3 exons. The record is from RefSeq and is a predicted model, not a curated record. Lineage: Eukaryota; Viridiplantae; Streptophyta; Magnoliopsida; Fabales; Fabaceae.
UAUUUUGACAAAUCCACAGCCACUAUUGUGAGUGACUAACGGUCGUAUAGUUAAGAGGCCAAUCCGAAUCUUGUUUUUUUUAAGGGACAAUUGUGAAAUCCAAAAUAUCUUUAAGGACAAUUGAACUAAUUAAGCUUUUUUUUAUUCAAAGUUUCAAUCAACUAUAGAGGAUAUUUAUGUUUUUCUUCACAAAUUCAUGUAGGAUUAUGAGAUCAACAAGCUUGAAUGUUAGAAGAGAAAGUUGGAAUUUUGAGAUGGAAACCCGUAUUCAAGGAGAUACCUGCACUAAAAAGUUCACGAAUUUAGGACUAAUAUUGAGCUCUGGUGACGAUUUUAAAGUUGAGGGUCUGAAGCGGUGUUUCUGCAGAAUUCUUGUUGGUAUAGAUCUGCACUUGAACGUUCUGGAGACAAUUUCAAAGUUGGAGGUCUGAACCUGAAUUAUGCAGAAAAAUCUGUCACGGAAUUUGCAUAUGCGAGCGGCACUAUCAGAUGAUUUUGAGCAUGCGGAAUGACUCGGUGUUGUUAUCAAUCUCAGGUAGGUUCUUUUAGCAGCUUAACUUUUAGAUUAGUUACCACUUCUAGUCGCCCAAAUAAAUAUGCAUGACAACAUUAGUUAGAUUAGGAUAAUAGUUUCCCCAAUUAUAUUAAUGUAUCACAACUUUAGGGAAUUUAGGACUUUAAGGUUUAAAUCCCAAAAUCAUCUCCAUUCUACUAAUAUAAUUGAUAUUGUGUUGUUUAUGACCGGAAAAGUCAUGGAUUGUAGAUGGAUAUGUUCUUUACAAAUACUGCAGAGUGUUGUAUUGGCAUUCUCGCUUAGCGAGCAUCAUACUUCGCUAAGCGAGCGUAUCAAAUUAGAACUCUGCGGAAUUAAUAAUUUAAAUAAAAAUAAGCGAGCGUAUCAAAUUAGAACUCUGCAGAAUUAAUAAUUUAAAUAAAAAUCCACUCGUUUUAUAUCCCUGACUUAUUCUGAAAUAUUUCGUAAGCAGUGUAAUAAUAUUAUGUGAUUAGAAUGUUUAUCACGCUUAGGAAUUUAGGUUCAGGAAUCAUGACAGUUAGAUUACCCUGGGAAGGUUUUUCUUUUCUUUUGGGCAGGACAACUUAGAACAUCAGGUUAGAAUAUGUCAACCAAAAAAUUAUAUCAGAGGAGUUAUUUAUUACUCCAUAUAUGGUUAUAUUAUGUGAUUGUGAGCCCAGACGAAACGGACGUACCUUAUUAUCCAAGUACGCAAACCAGACACUCCAAGAUCGGCUUGCCUUGGAGUGUACCUUGAGACUUAAAACGAACAAGAUAAUUUACUUUGCGAUACACUUUAUUUAUGUUGUUAAGUUAUUUUAUGUAAGACUUAUGAAAAUAUGUUAGAAACUGACAUUCAGGUAUCCCGGUGUAGUCACCAUUAGUUGGGUUGUAGGAUCUCACUGAGGCUUAGUAGUCUCAUCCCACGUCUAUUUUUUUUUCUUUUCGGAUAGACAGGUUGGAUGAAGUGUCGUGGCUGAGGAUCAUGAAGUUCAAGUACUCGAAUUACGCUUUGAGCUGAUGUCAGAGUUAUCUUAUAUUGUGAAUAAGAUUCAGUUUAUUUAUGUUUUCAGUUGUUAGCUCAAUGCAUUUAUUCCUUGGAUUAUUGUAAUCCACAAUAUGUAUUUGGACGAAUAUAAUAUAUAUUUUUCAUCUCGAUCCAGUUAUGUAUACUUCUAUUGAUAUUCUAGACAAUCGA